UGAGGAAUAUUGGUCAAUGGGCGCUAGCCUGAACCAGCCAAGUAGCGUGAAGGAUGAAGGCUCUAUGGGUCGUAAACUUCUUUUAUAUAAGAAUAAAGUGCAGUAUGUAUACUGUUUUGUAUGUAUUAUAUGAAUAAGGAUCGGCUAACUCCGUGCCAGCAGCCGCGGUAAUACGGAGGAUCCGAGCGUUAUCCGGAUUUAUUGGGUUUAAAGGGAGCGUAGGUGGACUGGUAAGUCAGUUGUGAAAGUUUGCGGCUCAACCGUAAAAUUGCAGUUGAUACUGUCAGUCUUGAGUACAGUAGAGGUGGGCGGAAUUCGUGGUGUAGCGGUGAAAUGCUUAGAUAUCACGAAGAACUCCGAUUGCGAAGGCAGCUCACUGGACUGCAACUGACACUGAUGC
RNAcentral lists this ribosomal RNA (400 nucleotides) under uncultured bacterium. RNAcentral describes it as "bacterial SSU rRNA". It matches the Rfam family "Bacterial small subunit ribosomal RNA", at positions 355 to 752 of the family's 1533-position model. The record is from RNAcentral.